GAUGAACGCUGGCGGCGUGCCUAACACAUGCAAGUCGAGCGGCCGCAUGGUGAGCGCGCGCCUCUGACGGUAGCGGCUGACGGGUGAGUAACGCGUACAUCACCAUCCUAUAAUUCGGGGAUAAUUACGGGAAACCACAGCCAAUACUGGCUAAUACGUCCUACCGCAGGGAGCAAGAGUGCUUGGCGGUUUGCGCGUCACUUUUAGAUGGAGCCGGAUCGCAUUAGCUAGUUGGUAAGGUAACGGCUUACCAAGGCAACGAUGCGUAGCCGACCUGAGAGGGUGAUCAGCCACACUGGAACUGAGACACGGUCCAGACUCCUACGGGAGGCAGCAGUGGGGAAUCUUCCACAAUGGGCGAAAGCCUGACGCAGCCACGCCGCGUGAGUGAAGAAGGUCUUCGGGUCGUAAAGCUCUGUUAUUAGGAAAGAAAAAAUGUGGAAGUAUCCAUGGACGUCUUGACGGUACCUAAUGAGAAAGCCCCGGCUAACUUCGUG
Molecule: ribosomal RNA, 497 nt
Filed under: uncultured bacterium
Lineage: Bacteria
Description: partial 16S ribosomal RNA
Rfam family: Bacterial small subunit ribosomal RNA
Source: RNAcentral